This 98-nucleotide small nuclear RNA is filed under the name Nannospalax galili (Upper Galilee mountains blind mole rat). Lineage: Eukaryota; Metazoa; Chordata; Mammalia; Rodentia; Spalacidae. The record is from RNAcentral.
GCAUGUAUGUUAAUACCAAAAUUGGAAUGACACAGGGAAGGUUAGGGUGGUCCCCAUGCAAGGAUAAUAUGCAAACUUGUGAAGGGUUCUGGAUUUUA